AAAACCUGAUAACACCAUUUGGUUACAUGAGCAGAUGGUCAAAGAUUUAUCGGCAAAGGAUGGGCCUGCGUCUGAUUAGCUAGUUGGUAAGGUAACGGCUUACCAAGGCGACGAUCAGUAGCCGACCUGAGAGGGUGAACGGCCACAUUGGAACUGAGACACGGUCCAAACUCCUACGGGAGGCAGCAGUGGGGAAUAUUGCACAAUGGGCGAAAGCCUGAUGCAGCAACGCCGCGUGAAGGAAGAAGGCCUUCGGGUCGUAAACUUCUGUCCUUGGGGAAGAAGAACUGACGGUACCCAAGGAGGAAGCCCCGGCUAACUACGUGCCAGCAGCCGCGGUAAUACGUAGGGGGCAAGCGUUAUCCGGAAUUAUUGGGCGUAAAGAGUACGUAGGUGGCAACCUAAGCGCAGGGUUUAAGGCAAUGGCUCAACCAUUGUUCGCCCUGCGAACUGGGAUGCUUGAGUGCAGGAGAGGAAAGCGGAAUUCCUAGUGUAGCGGUGAAAUGCGUAGAUAUUAGGAGGAACACCAGUGGCGAAGGCGGCUUUCUGGACUGUAACUGACACUGAGGUACGAAAGCGUGGGGAGCAAACAGGAUUAGAUACCCUGGUAGUCCACGCCGUAAACGAAGAGGACUAGGUGUCGGGGUCGCAAGACUUCGGUGCCGUAGU
RNAcentral lists this ribosomal RNA (669 nucleotides) under uncultured bacterium. Its description in RNAcentral is "bacterial SSU rRNA". It matches the Rfam family "Bacterial small subunit ribosomal RNA", at positions 165 to 852 of the family's 1533-position model. The record is from RNAcentral.